GUCAACACGCUCACAACAGACAUUCUUCACUUUGUGGACUCCCAGGUAACCCAAAAUCUCUUGGAUCUAUCAUUUUUUUUUCUUUUAUUAAUGUCAUUAUAUUAAUUGUUUCAACAUCUUUGUAUUAUGGUUUUUGUGAAUUGUGUUUUCUUGAGUUGUAGGGAAGAAAAAUUUAGGUUUAAUCUUCUAGCAUAGAAGAAAAAACUGUAGAUUAAUUGAUUUUUUAAUCUAAACCAAACACAUGAUCAAGUCCUUAAAAAAAAGUGAAAAACAGGAAAAAAUGAAUGAUUUUUAAUAUGUAUUUGUGUGAGAAUGACAGGUACAAAUUUUUUUUGAGAUUUAUUAUCACAUAAUCUUCAUCCUUUCUAAAAAACGAGAGAGGAAAAAAAAAAGAAUGAUUUUUCUGUUUGUAUCUAAGUGGGAAUGAGAUAUAGAAUUUCGUUGAGAGUAUCCAACCCCAAAAGGACCAAUCCGGGAAGGCAUGUGUGGUAUUGAUGGGAGAUGAUAAGAUGGAAAUCAUAACCAUAGCCAUGUUCUCUCUGUGUCUUUCUAUCCUCUUCAAUUAAUUCAUGGGCAUAGAUAUUUUAUUUAGUUUUUAUAUUUAAUUUAUUUAUAGUUUAUUUAGUUUCUAAAAUCCAAUUAGCUAGAUAUUUUAUUUGAUUUUGUUUUUAUAUUUAAGUAGUUGAGUUUUGGAAAGUUUUUAUAUUUUGUUAAUAGAAAUAGAAAUUUUUAUAUUUUUUAUUAUUAGAAAUUUCUAUUUUGUUAAAUUGUAAGUAUCUAUCUCAAUAAGAGAUUAUUAAUAUUCAAAUGAAAGUGAUGAAAGAGAGUAAAUAUUUUAAUGCUCAAUUAUAUUUUAAUGUUAUUUUUUUUUUUACAUAAGGGUUUAUUUAUGUUUUCAAUUUUGAAGUUCCCUUUCCAAGUCUAGCAACAAAAGUAGUGUCCAACCUUAAAAUGGGCAUGUGUGGUAUUGACGGGAGAUGAUAAGAUGGAAAUCAUAACCAUAACCAUGUUCUCUCUGUGUCUUUCUAUCCUAUUCAAUUAAUUCAUGGGCAUAGAUAUUUUAUUUAGUUUUUAUAUUUAGUUUAUUUAUAGUUUAUUUAGUUUCUAAAAUCCAAUUAGCUAGAUAUUUUAUUUGAUUUUGUUUUUAUAUUUAAGUAGUUGAGUUUUGGAAAGUUUUUAUAUUUUGUUAAUAGAAAUAGAUAUGAGGACUUAAAGGGUUUAUAUUUAAGUAGUGCUUGAGCCAAGGAAAAUGAUAGUCCACUAUCUUGACCCUAUGCAUCACAAACCAUGUGAGGACUUAAAUGACAUCGUAAACAUGUAAGUUCUUCCUAUUAUUUUUCAUAGUAUUAUUUUUAAAUAAAAAAAUACAUUCACCUCAAACACAUUUUUUUAUUAUUUAUAUAUAUUAAAACAUGUAACAUUUACCUAUUUUAAAAAUGUACCCAUUGAACUUAUUUACAUAGGGCUCUUCGAAUAUUUGCAAAGAAAACAUCUAAGAGGGAGCCAUCUUAGCAACUAGUGCAGGUGACAUCCAAAAAUUUUUCUUUACACAUUAGCUUAUGCAUAUGCACCAUUUAUAUAUGUGAGUACUAAUGUUAUUUUAUAAUUGAUCGAUUAGUGUCCAAGACAAGAAGGAGGGUUCGAAUGUGGCUAUUUUGUUAUGAGAUUCAUUAAAGAGAUAAUUUUUUAUCCUACAAUUAUUGCUUCAAAGUUUGGUGAUAAAAAAAAACAUAUUCUCAAGUAGAAUUCGAUGAAAUUAGAGGAGAAUGGGCUACUUUUGUGCUACAACUAAUCAUGAAUCAUGUUGAUGCAUCAUGAUCACCAUGCAUGGUAUACACUCUUGGGAGGGUGAAAUGGAGAAUAAAAAAAAAGAAGAAGGCAACAAGAUUUUGGGUUUUUAAAUGCAACUCUUAUAUCAUAUGUUAUAGGACAUAAACGUUACUUUAAUUGCAACUGAGAAAUUUAGAUUUUUAGAUGGGACUUUUAUGUCAUUUUAUGGUUAGCCGGUUUUAUGCUUAUGAAAUGGAGGUAUACAUGAAUCUUGGGAUCUUUAACAUUUCUGAAUCAUGUUUUGGUAUGUAUUCACUCUUCUUUUUUAGUUUUGAUGGGUUUGA
Vitis vinifera (wine grape) is the source of this 2114-nucleotide long non-coding RNA. RefSeq lists it as uncharacterized. NCBI's taxonomy places the organism in Eukaryota, Viridiplantae, Streptophyta, Magnoliopsida, Vitales, Vitaceae. The record is from RefSeq and is a predicted model, not a curated record. The transcript is spliced from 3 exons.